RNAcentral lists this unclassified non-coding RNA (479 nucleotides) under Russula sp. SB128. RNAcentral describes it as "sequence contains 18S rRNA gene, ITS1, 5.8S rRNA gene, ITS2 and 28S rRNA gene". The stretch from base 287 to 440 matches the Rfam family "5.8S ribosomal RNA". Lineage: Eukaryota; Fungi; Basidiomycota; Agaricomycetes; Russulales; Russulaceae. The record is from RNAcentral.
UCUUGGUCGUUUAGAGGAAGUAAAAGUCGUACAAGGUUUCCGUAGGUGAACCUGCGGAAGGAUCAUUAUCGUACAAUGGAGGUGCUGGGGUUGUCGCUGACUUUUGAAAGGGUCGUGCACACCUCGGUGCUCUCGCACACAAUAAAAACUCACCCCUUUUGUGAAUCACCGCGUGGAAACCCCUUUUGGCGAGUUCCGAUCCCCGGCUUCCCACCGUUUUAACACGGGCACCCUUUUAAUGCAAUGUGUAGAUGUAAAACUUUUUGCGAUCACACGCAAUCAAUCCAACUUUCAACAACGGAUCUCUUGGCUCUCGCAUCGAUGAAGAACGCAGCGAAAUGCGAUACGUAAUGUGAAUUGCAGAAUUCAGUGAAUCAUCGAAUCUUUGAACGCACCUUGCGCCCUUUGGCAUUCCGAAGGGCACACCCGUUUGAGUGUCGUGACAUCCUCAAAACCUUCCUGGUUUUUUGACCGGGAAG